Ascochyta rabiei is the source of this 120-nucleotide ribosomal RNA. Lineage: Eukaryota; Fungi; Ascomycota; Dothideomycetes; Pleosporales; Didymellaceae. The record is from Rfam.
ACAUACGACCAUAGGACGUUGAAAACAAGGCUUCCCGUUCGCUCAGCCCUAUUUAAGCAACGUACCGGCGGAUUAGUAGUUAGGUGGGUGACCACUAGCGAAUACCCGCUGUUGUAUGUU